Molecule: ribosomal RNA, 153 nt
Filed under: uncultured bacterium
Lineage: Bacteria
Description: partial 16S ribosomal RNA
Rfam family: Bacterial small subunit ribosomal RNA
Source: RNAcentral
UGGGGAAUAUUGCACAAUGGGGGAAACCCUGAUGCAGCGACGCCGCGUGAGUGAAGAAGUAAUUCGUUACGUAAAGCUCUAUCAGCAGGGAAGAAACACUGACCUUACGGUCAGCAGACGGUACCUGAGUAAGAAGCCCCGGCUAACUACGUG